AAAGAUGUAGUUCAGUGGUAAAGUAUUUGCCUCACACGUAUAAGGCCCUGGGUUCAAUGCCCAGCACCACUC
Molecule: transfer RNA, 72 nt
Filed under: Cavia porcellus (domestic guinea pig)
Lineage: Eukaryota; Metazoa; Chordata; Mammalia; Rodentia; Caviidae
Rfam family: tRNA
About the family: Transfer RNA (tRNA) molecules are approximately 80 nucleotides in length. Their secondary structure includes four short double-helical elements and three loops (D, anti-codon, and T loops).
Source: Rfam by way of RNAcentral